RNAcentral lists this ribosomal RNA (1506 nucleotides) under metagenome. RNAcentral describes it as "bacterial SSU rRNA". It matches the Rfam family "Bacterial small subunit ribosomal RNA". The record is from RNAcentral.
AGAGUUUGAUCCUGGCUCAGGACGAACGCUGGCGGCGUGCCUAAUACAUGCAAGUAGAACGCUGAAGAGAGGAGCUUGCUCUUCUUGGAUGAGUUGCGAACGGGUGAGUAACGCGUAGGUAACCUGCCUUGUAGCGGGGGAUAACUAUUGGAAACGAUAGCUAAUACCGCAUAACAAUGGAUGACCCAUGUCAUUUAUUUGAAAGGGGCAAAUGCUCCACUACAAGAUGGACCUGCGUUGUAUUAGCUAGUAGGUGAGGUAACGGCUCACCUAGGCGACGAUACAUAGCCGACCUGAGAGGGUGAUCGGCCACACUGGGACUGAGACACGGCCCAGACUCCUACGGGAGGCAGCAGUAGGGAAUCUUCGGCAAUGGGGGCAACCCUGACCGAGCAACGCCGCGUGAGUGAAGAAGGUUUUCGGAUCGUAAAGCUCUGUUGUAAGUCAAGAACGAGUGUGAGAGUGGAAAGUUCACACUGUGACGGUAGCUUACCAGAAAGGGACGGCUAACUACGUGCCAGCAGCCGCGGUAAUACGUAGGUCCCGAGCGUUGUCCGGAUUUAUUGGGCGUAAAGCGAGCGCAGGCGGUUUGAUAAGUCUGAAGUUAAAGGCUGUGGCUCAACCAUAGUUCGCUUUGGAAACUGUCAAACUUGAGUGCAGAAGGGGAGAGUGGAAUUCCAUGUGUAGCGGUGAAAUGCGUAGAUAUAUGGAGGAACACCGGUGGCGAAAGCGGCUCUCUGGUCUGUAACUGACGCUGAGGCUCGAAAGCGUGGGGAGCGAACAGGAUUAGAUACCCUGGUAGUCCACGCCGUAAACGAUGAGUGCUAGGUGUUGGAUCCUUUCCGGGAUUCAGUGCCGCAGCUAACGCAUUAAGCACUCCGCCUGGGGAGUACGACCGCAAGGUUGAAACUCAAAGGAAUUGACGGGGGCCCGCACAAGCGGUGGAGCAUGUGGUUUAAUUCGAAGCAACGCGAAGAACCUUACCAGGUCUUGACAUCCCGAUGCUAUUUCUAGAGAUAGAAAGUUACUUCGGUACAUCGGUGACAGGUGGUGCAUGGUUGUCGUCAGCUCGUGUCGUGAGAUGUUGGGUUAAGUCCCGCAACGAGCGCAACCCCUAUUGUUAGUUGCCAUCAUUCAGUUGGGCACUCUAGCGAGACUGCCGGUAAUAAACCGGAGGAAGGUGGGGAUGACGUCAAAUCAUCAUGCCCCUUAUGACCUGGGCUACACACGUGCUACAAUGGUUGGUACAACGAGUUGCGAGUCGGUGACGGCAAGCUAAUCUCUUAAAGCCAAUCUCAGUUCGGAUUGUAGGCUGCAACUCGCCUACAUGAAGUCGGAAUCGCUAGUAAUCGCGGAUCAGCACGCCGCGGUGAAUACGUUCCCGGGCCUUGUACACACCGCCCGUCACACCACGAGAGUUUGUAACACCCGAAGUCGGUGAGGUAACCUUUUGGAGCCAGCCGCCUAAGGUGGGAUAGAUGAUUGGGGUGAAGUCGUAACAAGGUA